CCUACGGGAGGCAGCAGUGGGGAAUAUUGCACAAUGGGGGGAACCCUGAUGCAGCGAAGCCGCGUGGGUGAAGGAGCGUUUCGGCGCGUAAAGCCCUAUCUGCAAGGAAGAAGGAGGACGGUACCUGACUGCGAAGCCCCGGCCAACUACGUGCCAGACGCCGCGGUCAUACGUAGGGGGCAAGCGUUAUCCGGAUUUACUGGGUGUAAAGGGGGCGCAGACGGCAGCACAAGCCAGGAGCGAAAGCCCGGGGCCCAACCACGGAACUGCUGCUGGAACUUGGCGGCUGGAGUACAAGAGGGGCAGGCGGAAUGCCUGGUGUAGCGGUGAAAUGCGUAGAGAUCAGGAGGAACACCGGUGGCGAAGGCGGCCUGCUGGGCUGCGACUGACGUUGAGGCACGAAAGCGUGGGGAGCAAACAGGAUUAGAUACCCGGGUAGUC
Molecule: ribosomal RNA, 441 nt
Filed under: uncultured bacterium
Lineage: Bacteria
Description: partial 16S ribosomal RNA
Rfam family: Bacterial small subunit ribosomal RNA
Source: RNAcentral